AAGGCGUAACAAGGUUUCCGUAGGUGAACCUGCGGAAGGAUCAUUAACACGUAUCCAACGUUAAAACAACCCUGUGAACCUUCAAUCUUGCUCGCGUGGCUCCAUGAAAGCAGCCAUCCCUGGUAAAUCAUUGUCGACCAGACUUGGAGUCAGGGACCUCUGCCGAUGAGAGUUACGCUCGUAGCGAUGCAAGCGACUGUUAACAAUGGAUAUCUUGGUUCUC
Molecule: unclassified non-coding RNA, 223 nt
Filed under: fungal sp.
Lineage: Eukaryota; Fungi
Description: partial internal transcribed spacer region
Rfam family: Eukaryotic small subunit ribosomal RNA (bases 1-46)
Source: RNAcentral